This 253-nucleotide ribosomal RNA is filed under the name uncultured bacterium. RNAcentral's name for it is "partial 16S ribosomal RNA". It matches the Rfam family "Bacterial small subunit ribosomal RNA", at positions 524 to 776 of the family's 1533-position model. The record is from RNAcentral.
UACGAAGGGGGCUAGCGUUGUUCGGAUUUACUGGGCGUAAAGCGCACGUAGGCGGAUCGUUAAGUCGGGGGUGAAAUCCUGGAGCUCAACUCCAGAACUGCCUUCGAUACUGGCGAUCUUGAGUCCGGAAGAGGUGAGUGGAACUCCUAGUGUAGAGGUGGAAUUCGUAGAUAUUAGGAAGAAUACCGGUGGCGAAGGCGGCCCACUGGAUCGGUACUGACGCUGAGGUGCGAAAGCGUGGGGAGCAAACAGG